Molecule: RNA transcript, 2468 nt
Organism: Propithecus coquereli (Coquerel's sifaka)
Lineage: Eukaryota; Metazoa; Chordata; Mammalia; Primates; Indriidae
Gene: EDEM1
Gene name: ER degradation enhancer, mannosidase alpha-like 1
Exons: 11
Source: RefSeq, a predicted model, not a curated record
GGGGCUGGGGACAAUGGGCCAGUUCCUGGUGCGUCACGGAGGAGUUCCUUAAAGGGGAAGUGAGCCGGGCUACGGGCCGGGCGCGGGGUGCGGCGGUCGGCGGGGGAGGCCCCCCGCGCUUUAAAAUAAUGUCCGCGGCGCCCGUGCGACCAUGCAAUGGCGAGCGCUCGUCCUGGGGCUGGUGCUCCUCCGGCUUGGCCUCCAUGGCGUGUUGUGGUUCGUCUUCGGGCUGGGGCCCAGCAUGGGCUUCUACCAGCGCUUUCCGCUCAGCUUCGGCUUCCAGCGUCUGAGGGACCCCGACGGCCCCACGUCGCCCGCCUCGGGGCCCUCGGGCCGGCCCGGGACGCGGGGGGCGCCGUCGGGGCCGUCGUGGCUGCAGCCGCCGGGCAGCGGGGCGGCGGCCGGGCAGCGCCGGGCUCCGCGGCGGCCCGGGCCGGGCGUGUGCGGCCCGGCCCACUGGGGCUACGUGCUGGGCGGCCGGGGCCGCGGCCGGGACGAGUACGAGAAGCGCUACAGCCGGGCCUUCCCGCCGCAGCUGCGCGCCCAGAUGCGCGACCUGGCGCGGGGCAUGUUCGUCUUCGGCUACGACAACUACAUGGCGCACGCCUUUCCCCAGGACGAGCUCAACCCCAUCCACUGCCGCGGCCGGGGGCCCGACCGCGGGGACCCUUCAAAUCUGAACAUCAAUGAUGUACUAGGGAACUAUUCAUUGACUCUUGUUGAUGCAUUGGAUACACUUGCAAUAAUGGGCAAUUCAUCCGAGUUCCAGAAAGCAGUCAAGUUAGUGAUCGACACAGUUUCAUUUGACAGAGAUUCCACCGUCCAAGUCUUUGAGGCCACAAUAAGGGUCCUGGGAAGCCUCCUUUCUGCCCACAGAAUAAUAACUGACUCCAAGCAGCCAUUUGGUGACAUGACUAUUAAGGAUUAUGAUAAUGAAUUGUUGCACAUGGCCCAUGACCUGGCUGUGCGGCUUCUGCCUGCUUUUGAAAACACCAAGACAGGGAUCCCCUAUCCUCGGGUGAAUCUAAAGACAGGAGUUCCUCCUGACAGCAAUAAUGAGACGUGCACUGCGGGAGCUGGUUCCCUCCUGGUGGAGUUUGGGAUUCUGAGCCGACUGCUGGGAGAUUCCACGUUUGAGUGGGUGGCCAGACGAGCAGUGAAAGCCCUUUGGAACCUCCGGAGCGAUGAUACAGGAUUGUUAGGCAAUGUUGUCAACAUUCAGACGGGCCAUUGGGUUGGAAAGCAGAGUGGCUUGGGUGCUGGGCUGGACUCCUUCUAUGAAUAUCUCUUGAAAUCUUACAUUCUCUUUGGAGAAAAAGAAGACCUAGAAAUGUUUAAUGCUGCAUAUCAGAGUAUUCAGAACUACUUAAGAAGAGGGCGGGAAGCCUGCAAUGAAGGAGAAGGAGACCCCCCACUCUAUGUCAACGUGAACAUGUUCAGUGGGCAGCUGAUGAACACCUGGAUUGACUCUCUGCAGGCCUUCUUCCCUGGACUGCAGGUGCUGAUAGGAGAUGUGGAAGAUGCCAUCUGCCUCCAUGCCUUUUACUAUGCCAUAUGGAAGCGCUAUGGUGCCCUCCCUGAAAGGUACAACUGGCAGCUGCAGGCCCCUGAUGUUCUCUUCUACCCGCUGAGACCAGAGUUAGUGGAAUCCACUUAUCUCCUCUACCAGAUGUGGGUACGCCACGCUGCAUCACGUCAUCGACAAGUCCACGGAGGACCGGAUGGAGAGCUUCUUUCUCAGUGAGACCUGUAAAUACUUGUAUCUGCUGUUUGAUGAGGAGAAUCCAGUGCACAAAUCUGGAACCAGAUACAUGUUUACAACAGAGGGACACAUCGUGUCUGUGGACAAACAUCUUCGGGAGUCACCCUGGAAGGACUUCUUCUGGGAAGAGGGAACACAGGACCAAGAGGGAAAGUCUGUGCACAGGCCUAAACCCCACGAGUUAAAAGUCAUCAACUCUAGCUCCAAUUGCAAUCGUGUUCCCGAUGAGAGGAGAUACUCCCUGCCCUUAAAGAGUAUCUACAUGCGGCAGAUUGAUCAGAUGGUUGGCUUGAUUUGAUCUGCUCUCCUCUGUGUGGCCUCAUCUUAAAGCAGACCUAAACAACUGAACACCAAAAUCCAGUCUGAAGUGGAAGGGGAUGGACGUCUGGCCGUCCUUGCUGGUGGAGGAAUUUCUGGCCAACUCCUCACCCACGUCUGGUUAAUUCUUGCACACUUCAGUGUUCCUUUUCCAUUCAAUAAAAUGCCCUGCUUUUCCUAAGGAUAUAAUUUAAAAUGAGAAGGUAUAUGGAAAUUGGCUUCUUAUGACAUGCUGAUGUUGCUAAGCACAACAGUUGGAGCAUCUUUGGAUUGAUGUUCACAGCUUCAUACUUUAGAAUCUAAGACUCUUCACUUUUCAGGCACCUGCUAUACUGCAGUAUUGCUACUUUUUUAUUCUUUAUUAUUACUAUUUAUUUUUUUUUGAGAU